AAACCUUCAAGCUAUGCUUGGUGUUGGGUGUUUGUUCCGCCUCAGCGUGUGGACUCGCCUCAAAUUUAUUGGCAGCCGGUAUGUUGGCUUCGUGCGCAGCACAUUGCAAGCGAUUUCAGCAGACCCCCUUCCACAAGCCUUUUUUUA
RNAcentral lists this unclassified non-coding RNA (147 nucleotides) under Muriformistrickeria rosae. RNAcentral describes it as "partial internal transcribed spacer 2". Lineage: Eukaryota; Fungi; Ascomycota; Dothideomycetes; Pleosporales; Melanommataceae. The record is from RNAcentral.